RNAcentral lists this ribosomal RNA (368 nucleotides) under uncultured organism. RNAcentral describes it as "bacterial SSU rRNA". It matches the Rfam family "Bacterial small subunit ribosomal RNA", at positions 526 to 896 of the family's 1533-position model. The record is from RNAcentral.
CGUAGGUGGCAAGCGUUGUCCGGAUUUACUGGGCGUAAAGCGAACGCAGGCGGACCUUUAAGUAGGAAGUGAAAGGUUGGAGCUCAACUCUAACACUGCUCCCUAUACUGGAGGUCUUGAGUGCCGGAGAGGAGAACGGAACAAGUUGUGUAGCGGUGAAAUGCGUUGAUAUAACUUGGAACACCAAUGGCGAAAGCAGUUCUCUGGACGGAUACUGACGCUCAGGUUCGAAAGCCAAGGUAGCAAACAGGAUUAGAUACCCUGGUAGUCUUGGCCUUAAACGAUGUUCACUAGGUGUUGGGGGGUAACCCUCGGUGCCGCAGCUAACGCAUUAAGUGAACCGCCUGGGGACUACGGCCGCAAGGUUG